UAUGUGUAUGAAUAUAUAUGUAUUUUAUACACACACGAAUACACACACAUUUUUUUUUCUUUUUUUGAGACAGGGUUUUGCUCUGUCACCCAGGCUGGAAUGCAGUGGCAUGUUCAUGGCUCACUGCAGCUUUCACCUCCUGGGCUCAAUCAAUCCUCCCACCUCAGCCUCCUGAGAAACUGGGACUACAGACAUAUGCCAUCAUGUUUGGCUAAUUUUUCUUUUUUGUAGAGACGGGGGUCUCACUAUGUUGCCUAGGCUGGUCUUGAAUUCCUGGCCUCAAGCGGUCCUCCUGUCUCAGCCUCCCAAAGUGUUAGGAUUAUAGGCAUGAGCCACUGCACCCAGCCAAUAGUUAUAUUUUUAUUAUAGGUUGCACCCUCUUUGUCUCGUCUCAAGCUUUUAACUUUGAAUUCAACAAACAAAAAGCACGCUGAAUUUGUUGUCAUUAUUUGCAUUUGCCUGACCUACUUUAUUAGUUCACUAUAUAUAUGAUAUAUAAUAUAUAUACACAUAUAUAAUAUAUACACAUUUAUUUUAUAUAUAUGUGUGUGUGUAUAUAUACAUAUAUAUGUAUAUAUAUAUAUAUUUUAGACAAGGUCUUGCUCGGUCACUCAGGUUGGAAGGCAUUGGUGUGAACAGGGCUCACUGCAGCCUUGACCUCUCAGGCUCAAGUGAUCCUCUCCCCUCAGCCUCCUGAGUAGCUGGGACCACAGGCAUAUGCCACCAUGCCCAGCUAAUUUUUAAAAAUCUUUUUGUAGAGGUGGGGUCUUACUAUGUUGCUUAGGCUGGUCUUGAACUCCUGGGCUCAAGCCACCCUCCUGCCUUAGCCUCCCAAAGUGCUGAAAUUACAGGCACGAGCCACCAUGCCUGGUGGCUUUUAAUAUUUCUGAGUCGCAUUGUUUUAGGUUUGUCAUUUGAAAGCACAUGGCUGAAGGGUUUUUUUUUAAUCUAUCCUGAGUCCUUUCCUUUUAAAAGAUGAAUUUUAUCCAGUUACAUUUAUUAUUAAAACACGUGUUUGAUCUUGCCUCUAUUAUAUUAUUUUGUUUUCUGAUUUUAUGUUUUCUUGUUGCUUCUUUUUUCUUCUACCUUUUGCUGUGAGAUCUCUGUUUUUUCUUUUUUUAAAAAAAAAAUUUUCCCUCAGCAAUUUGGAAAGGAUAUAGUUUGCUUUCUGUUAAACAAGUUUACAACUUUAAAUAACACACUCAGAUUUCUCUUUUUCUCAAUAUAUCAUUGACGUGGUUUUUUAACAACAGAGCUUGGCUGUCUACCCUGAUUAGAUUUGCCAGAUGCUUGCCAAAACUCCUCCUCACUUAUGCCAAGCUGAGCUUUCCCUCCACAGCCCAGACGAAAUGGCUCUGGCUGCCCUUGUUUGUGGCUGUUUAAAAACAAAACUCUUUAACAUAUUGUCAAACCAUCUUUCUCUGAAGCCUACAGAGAUUUGGCUCUAGCUGCCAAUGGUAAAACAGCAGGCGGGCUGCAAGUUAUGGCUCCAGGCCCAUUCUGGAACAGGGGUAAGGCAGCAUCGGGUAGGGUGGGAGGCCUAGAGGUUUCGAAGUGACAGCCACAGUGCCUCCCCAUGGUCUAACCCCACAGGAGGAGGCAGCAUGGAAUGGAGGCACAUAGCCUUGGAUCAAAGUGCCCUUUCUCUCACUCUGCAGUCUAAAGCAUUCUCUGUUAGUUGCUCAUCUAUGGGGUUCUCACCUCCCCAGCAAUACAGGCUCUUACUUUCCCUGGUCCAGCAGAGUUUCCACAGGGCUCUUACUUCCCCUAGUCCAGUAAAGUUUCCAUGUCUUUUUUUUUUUUUUUAAAUGGAGUCUCACUGUAUCCCCCAGGCUGGAGUAUAGUGGCAUGACCUCAGCUCACUGCAACCUCUGCCUCCCGAGUUCAAGUGAUUCUCAUGCCUCAACCUCCCAAGUAGCUUGGAUUACAGGGCGCAGUCUCCAGCCUGAAGACAUGGACUCAGUGGAGCCAGCACUGUACUAUAAGCCAGCAUGGUUAACUGCACUGUGACAGCCUGACAGAACACUGAUGCUGUGUGCAGGAAAGAUUUCUGGAGAUGAAAUUGUGUAGUCAAUGAACGUUUUUAGAUUCUGACACAUAGUGCUAAAUGAUCCUCGGAGAAAGGUUUUAACCAAUUCCACGAGCUGCAUAUAGGGAAACUGAGAUACAAAGGAGUUAAACCAGUAAUUCAAAUGAUGGCUUCUACUAUGAAUUCUUACCCAUCAUGUGCCAUCACAGAUAAACCAGGAGCCACCUAUAGUACUAUAUUCAUUCCAAGGGUCUCACUGUAUCACCCAGUCUGGAGUAUAGUGGCGCGAUCUCGGUUCACUGCAACCUCCACCUCCCAAGUUCAAGCGGUUCUUCUGCUUCAGCCUCCUGAGUAGCCGGGACUACAGAAUCUGGUCCUGUCACCUGGGCUGGAGUGCAGUGAUAGGAUCUCGGCUCACUGCAAUCUCGGUCCUGCUGGGGAUCCAAGUGAUCCUCCCACCUCAGCCUCCCAAGUAGCUAGGACCACAGUUCAGCCACAACUUGCUGACCCAGUGAAGCCACCAGUGCUCUUCAUCACACCUAACUUGCUGCUCAGUCCAACCCAAUGGUCACAACCUGAUAAAAACACACUCAACUGAAACCCUGCAUAACUACCAUCUGAAGACCACCCAACAUUUCCAACAGUGCCAUGAGACUUCUACCCGCUGAGAUGUAGCUUUGCCUUCUGUUUGCACAUAGAAGGAAAGAAAAGUAAAAUUACAGCAAGUGGACUCAAAUUGGUGAAAAAAUCUGAAUAGGCCCCGCAGAGAACUACCUAGAGUCUUGGGUUUGGAAAGUAAGAAGAAAAGAAAAUCCUCAUACCCCACAGUGUGAGAGACCUACCUGCCUAUGGGGGUCACUUGAACAGCUGGGCCUGAGACAGGCUGGGUCUGCAGUAACAGCAAGCUUAGAUCAAAUGGGGCCAGAAGUCCCCCUACCACCCCCACACCAACCUCGAUAACGAUCUCAGAAGCUCCUUUUUGAGGCCAGUGGGCUCAUGGCAACUCAGCCCUGGGAUCCUCUAAAGACGGGCUGACUCUGUUUACCUGGACUGAUCCAAUAUGGCCCUGUCCUGGGAGUUGAGAGAUGCCCAACUCUGCCCCUGCCAUGUCAUCCCUCCUGUCUCUGGGCCUCGGUUUCCCUAUCUGUAUAAUAAAGAGGCAGAACUUGAUUUGGUAUCAAGAA
This is a long non-coding RNA of Symphalangus syndactylus (siamang), 3213 nucleotides long. RefSeq lists it as uncharacterized. The record is from RefSeq and is a predicted model, not a curated record. NCBI's taxonomy places the organism in Eukaryota, Metazoa, Chordata, Mammalia, Primates, Hylobatidae.